UUAAGCGACUAAGCGUACACGGUGGAUGCCCUGGCAGUCAGAGGCGAUGAAGGACGUGCUAAUCUGCGAAAAGCGCCGGCGAGGUGAUAUGAACCUUUGACCCGGCGAUGUCCGAAUGGGGAAACCCAGUGUGAUUCGUCACACUAUCGUUAACUGAAUACAUAGGUUAACGAGGCGAACCGGGGGAACUGAAACAUCUAAGUACCCCGAGGAAAAGAAAUCAACCGAGAUUCCCCCAGUAGCGGCGAGCGAACGGGGAGCAGCCCAGAGUCUGAAUCAGCUUGUGUGUUAGUGGAAGCGUCUGGAAAGUCGCACGGUACAGGGUGACAGUCCCGUACACGAAAACGCACAGGUUGUGAACUCGAAGAGUAGGGCGGGACACGUGGUAUCCUGUCUGAAUAUGGGGGGACCAUCCUCCAAGGCUAAAUACUCCUGACUGACCGAUAGUGAACCAGUACCGUGAGGGAAAGGCGAAAAGAACCCCGGCGAGGGGAGUGAAAAAGAACCUGAAACCGUGUACGUACAAGCAGUGGGAGCACCUUCGGGUGUGACUGCGUACCUUUUGUAUAAUGGGUCAGCGACUUAUAUUCUGUAGCAAGGUUAACCGUAUAGGGGAGCCGAAGGGAAACCGAGUCUUAACUGGGCGUUAAGUUGCAGGGUAUAGACCCGAAACCCGGUGAUCUAGCCAUGGGCAGGUUGAAGGUUGGGUAACACUAACUGGAGGACCGAACCGACUAAUGUUGAAAAAUUAGCGGAUGACUUGUGGCUGGGGGUGAAAGGCCAAUCAAACCGGGAGAUAGCUGGUUCUCCCCGAAAGCUAUUUAGGUAGCGCCUCGUGAACUCAUCUUCGGGGGUAGAGCACUGUUUCGGCUAGGGGGCCAUCCCGGCUUACCAACCCGAUGCAAACUACGAAUACCGAAGAAUGUUAUCACGGGAGACACACGGCGGGUGCUAACGUCCGUCGUGAAGAGGGAAACAACCCAGACCGCCAGCUAAGGUCCCAAAGUCAUGGUUAAGUGGGAAACGAUGUGGGAAGGCACAGACAGCCAGGAUGUUGGCUUAGAAGCAGCCAUCAUUUAAAGAAAGCGUAAUAGCUCACUGGUCGAGUCGGCCUGCGCGGAAGAUGUAACGGGGCUAAACCAUGCACCGAAGCUGCGGCAGCGACACUAUGUGUUGUUGGGUAGGGGAGCGUUCUGUAAGCCGUUGAAGGUGUGCUGUGAGGCAUGCUGGAGGUAUCAGAAGUGCGAAUGCUGACAUAAGUAACGAUAAAGCGGGUGAAAAGCCCGCUCGCCGGAAGACCAAGGGUUCCUGUCCAACGUUAAUCGGGGCAGGGUGAGUCGACCCCUAAGGCGAGGCCGAAAGGCGUAGUCGAUGGGAAACAGGUUAAUAUUCCUGUACUUGGUGUUACUGCGAAGGGGGGACGGAGAAGGCUAUGUUAGCCGGGCGACGGUUGUCCCGGUUUAAGCAUGUAGGCGGAACGAUUAGGUAAAUCCGGUCGUUUAUUAACGCUGAGGUGUGAUGACGAGGCACUACGGUGCUGAAGUAACAAAUGCCCUGCUUCCAGGAAAAGCCUCUAAGCAUCAGGUAACAUCAAAUCGUACCCCAAACCGACACAGGUGGUCAGGUAGAGAAUACCAAGGCGCUUGAGAGAACUCGGGUGAAGGAACUAGGCAAAAUGGUGCCGUAACUUCGGGAGAAGGCACGCUGAUAUGUAGGUGAAGCCCCUGCGGGUGGAGCUGAAAUCAGUCGAAGAUACCAGCUGGCUGCAACUGUUUAUUAAAAACACAGCACUGUGCAAACACGAAAGUGGACGUAUACGGUGUGACGCCUGCCCGGUGCCGGAAGGUUAAUUGAUGGGGUUAGCGGCAACGCGAAGCUCUUGAUCGAAGCCCCGGUAAACGGCGGCCGUAACUAUAACGGUCCUAAGGUAGCGAAAUUCCUUGUCGGGUAAGUUCCGACCUGCACGAAUGGCGUAAUGAUGGCCAGGCUGUCUCCACCCGAGACUCAGUGAAAUUGAACUCGCUGUGAAGAUGCAGUGUACCCGCGGCAAGACGGAAAGACCCCGUGAACCUUUACUAUAGCUUGACACUGAACACUGGUCCUUGAUGUGUAGGAUAGGUGGGAGGCUUUGAAGUGUGGACGCCAGUCUGCAUGGAGCCGUCCUUGAAAUACCACCCUUUAAUGGCUGGUGUUCUAACGUAGACCCGUGAUCCGGGUUGCGGACAGUGUCUGGUGGGUAGUUUGACUGGGGCGGUCUCCUCCCAAAGAGUAACGGAGGAGCACGAAGGUUAGCUAAUCCUGGUCGGACAUCAGGAGGUUAGUGCAAUGGCAUAAGCUAGCUUGACUGCGAGAGUGACGGCUCGAGCAGGUGCGAAAGCAGGUCAUAGUGAUCCGGUGGUUCUGAAUGGAAGGGCCAUCGCUCAACGGAUAAAAGGUACUCCGGGGAUAACAGGCUGAUACCGCCCAAGAGUUCAUAUCGACGGCGGUGUUUGGCACCUCGAUGUCGGCUCAUCACAUCCUGGGGCUGAAGUAGGUCCCAAGGGUAUGGCUGUUCGCCAUUUAAAGUGGUACGCGAGCUGGGUUUAGAACGUCGUGAGACAGUUCGGUCCCUAUCUGCCGUGGGCGCUGGAGAAUUGAGGGGGGCUGCUCCUAGUACGAGAGGACCGGAGUGGACGCAUCACUGGUGUUCGGGUUGUCAUGCCAAUGGCACUGCCCGGUAGCUAAAUGCGGAAAAGAUAAGUGCUGAAAGCAUCUAAGCACGAAACUUGCCCCGAGAUGAGUUCUCCCUGAGACUUUAAGUCUCCUGAAGGAACGUUGAAGACGACGACGUUGAUAGGUCGGGUGUGUAAGCGCAGCGAUGCGUUGAGCUAACCGAUACUAAUGAACCGUGAGGCUUAACCUU
Molecule: ribosomal RNA, 2902 nt
Filed under: Enterobacter roggenkampii CHS 79
Lineage: Bacteria; Pseudomonadati; Pseudomonadota; Gammaproteobacteria; Enterobacterales; Enterobacteriaceae
Description: bacterial LSU rRNA
Rfam family: Bacterial large subunit ribosomal RNA
Source: RNAcentral